Molecule: long non-coding RNA, 438 nt
Filed under: Mytilus galloprovincialis (Mediterranean mussel)
Lineage: Eukaryota; Metazoa; Mollusca; Bivalvia; Mytilida; Mytilidae
Source: RNAcentral
AAAAGAUAAAGAAAACAAGAAUGUGUCCACAGUACACGGAUGCCCCACUCGCACUAUCAUUUUCUAUGUUUAAAGGACUGUGAAAUUGGAAUAAAUUCUCUAAUUUGGCAUUAAAAUUAGAAUGAUCUUAUCAAAGGGAACAUGUAUACUAAGUUUCAAGUUGAUUGGACUUCUACUUUAUCAAAAACUACCUUGACCAAAAACUUUAACCUGAAAUUUGCACUAUCAUUUUCUAUGUUCAGUGAACCGUAAAAUUGGGGUCAAAACUCUAAUUUGGCAUUUAAAUUAGAAAGAUCAUAUCAUAGGGCACAUGUAUACUAAGUUUCAAGUUGAUUGGACUUCAACUUCAUCAAAAACUACCUACUUACCUUGAAGCCAAAAACUUUAACCUGAAAUUUGCACUAUCAUUUUCUAUGUUCAGUGAACGUAAAAUUGGGG